This 75-nucleotide transfer RNA is filed under the name Candidatus Peribacteria bacterium. RNAcentral's name for it is "tRNA-Glu". It matches the Rfam family "tRNA". From Rfam's summary of the family: Transfer RNA (tRNA) molecules are approximately 80 nucleotides in length. Their secondary structure includes four short double-helical elements and three loops (D, anti-codon, and T loops). The record is from RNAcentral. Lineage: Bacteria; Candidatus Peregrinibacteriota; Candidatus Peribacteria.
GCUCUCAUCGUCUAGUGGCUAGGACAGAACCCUCUCACGGUUCAAACGGGAGUUCAAUCCUCCUUGAGAGUACCA